This 1244-nucleotide ribosomal RNA is filed under the name Salmonella enterica subsp. enterica serovar Enteritidis. RNAcentral's name for it is "partial 23S ribosomal RNA". It matches the Rfam family "Bacterial large subunit ribosomal RNA", at positions 161 to 1445 of the family's 2925-position model. The record is from RNAcentral. Lineage: Bacteria; Pseudomonadati; Pseudomonadota; Gammaproteobacteria; Enterobacterales; Enterobacteriaceae.
AAUCCAUAGGUUAAUGAGGCGAACCGGGGGAACUGAAACAUCUAAGUACCCCGAGGAAAAGAAAUCAACCGAGAUUCCCCCAGUAGCGGCGAGCGAACGGGGAGGAGCCCAGAGCCUGAAUCAGCAUGUGUGUUAGUGGAAGCGUCUGGAAAGGCGCGCGAUACAGGGUGACAGCCCCGUACACAAAAGCGCAUGUGCUGUGAGCUCGAUGAGUAGGGCGGGACACGUGGUAUCCUGUCUGAAUAUGGGGGGACCAUCCUCCAAGGCUAAAUACUCCUGACUGACCGAUAGUGAACCAGUACCGUGAGGGAAAGGCGAAAAGAACCCCGGCGAGGGGAGUGAAAAAGAACCUGAAACCGUGUACGUACAAGCAGUGGGAGCACCCUUUGGGUGUGACUGCGUACCUUUUGUAUAAUGGGUCAGCGACUUAUAUUCUGUAGCAAGGUUAACCGAAUAGGGGAGCCGGAGGGAAACCGAGUCUUAACCGGGCGUUAAGUUGCAGGGUAUAGACCCGAAACCCGGUGAUCUAGCCAUGGGCAGGUUGAAGGUUGGGUAACACUAACUGGAGGACCGAACCGACUAAUGUUGAAAAAUUAGCGGAUGACCUGUGGCUGGGGGUGAAAGGCCAAUCAAACCGGGAGAUAGCUGGUUCUCCCCGAAAGCUAUUUAGGUAGCGCCUCGUGAAUUCAUCUCCGGGGGUAGAGCACUGUUUCGGCUAGGGGGCCAUCCCGGCUUACCAACCCGAUGCAAACUGCGAAUACCGGAGAAUGUUAUCACGGGAGACACACGGCGGGUGCUAACGUCCGUCGUGAAGAGGGAAACAACCCAGACCGCCAGCUAAGGUCCCAAAGUCAUGGUUAAGUGGGAAACGAUGUGGGAAGGCCCAGACAGCCAGGAUGUUGGCUUAGAAGCAGCCAUCAUUUAAAGAAAGCGUAAUAGCUCACUGGUCGAGUCGGCCUGCGCGGAAGAUGUAACGGGGCUAAACCAUGCACCGAAGCUGCGGCAGCGACACUGUGUGUUGUUGGGUAGGGGAGCGUUCUGUAAGCCUGUGAAGGUGUGUCGUGAGGCAUGCUGGAGGUAUCAGAAGUGCGAAUGCUGACAUAAGUAACGAUAAAGCGGGUGAAAAGCCCGCUCGCCGGAAGACCAAGGGUUCCUGUCCAACGUUAAUCGGGGCAGGGUGAGUCGACCCCUAAGGCGAGGCCGAAAGGCGUAGUCGAUGGGAAACGGGUUAAUAUUCCCGUACU